RNAcentral lists this ribosomal RNA (498 nucleotides) under uncultured bacterium. RNAcentral's name for it is "partial 16S ribosomal RNA". It matches the Rfam family "Bacterial small subunit ribosomal RNA", at positions 30 to 523 of the family's 1533-position model. The record is from RNAcentral.
AUUGAACGCUGGCGGCAUGCCUUACACAUGCAAGUCGAACGGUAACAGGUCUUCGGAUGCUGACGAGUGGCGAACGGGUGAGUAAUACAUCGGAACGUGCCUAGUAGUGGGGGAUAACUACUCGAAAGAGUGGCUAAUACCGCAUGAGAUCUAGGGAUGAAAGCAGGGGAUCGCAAGACCUUGUGCUACUAGAGCGGCCGAGGGCAGAUUAGGUAGUUGGUGGGAUAAAAGCUUACCAAGCCGACGAUCUGUAGCUGGUCUGAGAGGACGAUCAGCCACACUGGGACUGAGACACGGCCCAGACUCCUACGGGAGGCAGCAGUGGGGAAUUUUGGACAAUGGGCGAAAGCCUGAUCCAGCAAUGCCGCGUGCAGGAUGAAGGCCUUCGGGUUGUAAACUGCUUUUGUACGGAACGAAAAGCCCCGGGUUAAUACCCUGGGGUCAUGACGGUACCGUAAGAAUAAGCACCGGCUAACUACGUGCCAGCAGCCGCCGCCG